Molecule: non-coding RNA, 119 nt
Organism: Triticum aestivum (bread wheat)
Lineage: Eukaryota; Viridiplantae; Streptophyta; Magnoliopsida; Poales; Poaceae
Source: Rfam
GUAGGGAUGAUUAAAUUAAGGCUUUUUUCUCAAAACAUUUGCAGUUACGGCCUAAGAGCUUUCGCCCAGCCAGGCUUGAGAGCUAAUGCUAUCAGAUCCUUCCUCGGAUGUCUGAGGGC